Molecule: ribosomal RNA, 3010 nt
Filed under: Salmonella enterica subsp. enterica serovar Manhattan str. SA20034532
Lineage: Bacteria; Pseudomonadati; Pseudomonadota; Gammaproteobacteria; Enterobacterales; Enterobacteriaceae
Description: bacterial LSU rRNA
Rfam family: Bacterial large subunit ribosomal RNA
Source: RNAcentral
GGGUUGUGAGGUUAAGCGACUAAGCGUACACGGUGGAUGCCCUGGCAGUCAGAGGCGAUGAAGGGCGUGCUAAUCUGCGAUAAGCGCCGGUAAGGUGAUAUGAACCGUUAUAACCGGCGAUACCCGAAUGGGGAAACCCAGUGUGAUUCGUCACACUAUCAUUAACUGAAUCCAUAGGUUAAUGAGGCGAACCGGGGGAACUGAAACAUCUAAGUACCCCGAGGAAAAGAAAUCAACCGAGAUUCCCCCAGUAGCGGCGAGCGAACGGGGAGGAGCCCAGAGCCUGAAUCAGCAUGUGUGUUAGUGGAAGCGUCUGGAAAGGCGCGCGAUACAGGGUGACAGCCCCGUACACAAAAGCGCAUGUGCUGUGAGCUCGAUGAGUAGGGCGGGACACGUGGUAUCCUGUCUGAAUAUGGGGGGACCAUCCUCCAAGGCUAAAUACUCCUGACUGACCGAUAGUGAACCAGUACCGUGAGGGAAAGGCGAAAAGAACCCCGGCGAGGGGAGUGAAAAAGAACCUGAAACCGUGUACGUACAAGCAGUGGGAGCACAGGUUUACCUGUGUGACUGCGUACCUUUUGUAUAAUGGGUCAGCGACUUAUAUUCUGUAGCAAGGUUAACCGCAUAGGGGAGCCGGAGGGAAACCGAGUCUUAACCGGGCGUUAAGUUGCAGGGUAUAGACCCGAAACCCGGUGAUCUAGCCAUGGGCAGGUUGAAGGUUGGGUAACACUAACUGGAGGACCGAACCGACUAAUGUUGAAAAAUUAGCGGAUGACCUGUGGCUGGGGGUGAAAGGCCAAUCAAACCGGGAGAUAGCUGGUUCUCCCCGAAAGCUAUUUAGGUAGCGCCUCGUGAAUUCAUCUCCGGGGGUAGAGCACUGUUUCGGCUAGGGGGCCAUCCCGGCUUACCAACCCGAUGCAAACUGCGAAUACCGGAGAAUGUUAUCACGGGAGACACACGGCGGGUGCUAACGUCCGUCGUGAAGAGGGAAACAACCCAGACCGCCAGCUAAGGUCCCAAAGUCAUGGUUAAGUGGGAAACGAUGUGGGAAGGCCCAGACAGCCAGGAUGUUGGCUUAGAAGCAGCCAUCAUUUAAAGAAAGCGUAAUAGCUCACUGGUCGAGUCGGCCUGCGCGGAAGAUGUAACGGGGCUAAACCAUGCACCGAAGCUGCGGCAGCGAACGUAUCACUUAAAGCGAUUCAGCGGGUUACGAUUGACGGAGCGAAGCGACGUCAAAGCGUAUACAAAGUCGAGUCGGUUUAAGGAUACGUUCGUUGGGUAGGGGAGCGUUCUGUAAGCCUGUGAAGGUGGCCUGUGAGGGUUGCUGGAGGUAUCAGAAGUGCGAAUGCUGACAUAAGUAACGAUAAAGCGGGUGAAAAGCCCGCUCGCCGGAAGACCAAGGGUUCCUGUCCAACGUUAAUCGGGGCAGGGUGAGUCGACCCCUAAGGCGAGGCCGAAAGGCGUAGUCGAUGGGAAACGGGUUAAUAUUCCCGUACUUGGUGUUACUGCGAAGGGGGGACGGAGAAGGCUAUGUUGGCCGGGCGACGGUUGUCCCGGUUUAAGCGUGUAGGUGUGUGUUCCAGGUAAAUCCGGUUCACUUUAACACUGAGGCGUGACGACGAGGCACUACGGUGCUGAAGCAACAAAUGCCCUGCUUCCAGGAAAAGCCUCUAAGCAUCAGGUAACAUCAAAUCGUACCCCAAACCGACACAGGUGGUCAGGUAGAGAAUACCAAGGCGCUUGAGAGAACUCGGGUGAAGGAACUAGGCAAAAUGGUGCCGUAACUUCGGGAGAAGGCACGCUGACACGUAGGUGAAGUGAUUUACUCAUGGAGCUGAAGUCAGUCGAAGAUACCAGCUGGCUGCAACUGUUUAUUAAAAACACAGCACUGUGCAAACACGAAAGUGGACGUAUACGGUGUGACGCCUGCCCGGUGCCGGAAGGUUAAUUGAUGGGGUCAGCGCAAGCGAAGCUCCUGAUCGAAGCCCCGGUAAACGGCGGCCGUAACUAUAACGGUCCUAAGGUAGCGAAAUUCCUUGUCGGGUAAGUUCCGACCUGCACGAAUGGCGUAAUGAUGGCCAGGCUGUCUCCACCCGAGACUCAGUGAAAUUGAACUCGCUGUGAAGAUGCAGUGUACCCGCGGCAAGACGGAAAGACCCCGUGAACCUUUACUAUAGCUUGACACUGAACAUUGAGCCUUGAUGUGUAGGAUAGGUGGGAGGCUUUGAAGCGUGGACGCCAGUCUGCGUGGAGCCGACCUUGAAAUACCACCCUUUAAUGUUUGAUGUUCUAACGUGGACCCGUAAUCCGGGUUGCGGACAGUGUCUGGUGGGUAGUUUGACUGGGGCGGUCUCCUCCUAAAGAGUAACGGAGGAGCACGAAGGUUGGCUAAUCCUGGUCGGACAUCAGGAGGUUAGUGCAAUGGCAUAAGCCAGCUUGACUGCGAGCGUGACGGCGCGAGCAGGUGCGAAAGCAGGUCAUAGUGAUCCGGUGGUUCUGAAUGGAAGGGCCAUCGCUCAACGGAUAAAAGGUACUCCGGGGAUAACAGGCUGAUACCGCCCAAGAGUUCAUAUCGACGGCGGUGUUUGGCACCUCGAUGUCGGCUCAUCACAUCCUGGGGCUGAAGUAGGUCCCAAGGGUAUGGCUGUUCGCCAUUUAAAGUGGUACGCGAGCUGGGUUUAGAACGUCGUGAGACAGUUCGGUCCCUAUCUGCCGUGGGCGCUGGAGAACUGAGGGGGGCUGCUCCUAGUACGAGAGGACCGGAGUGGACGCAUCACUGGUGUUCGGGUUGUCAUGCCAAUGGCACUGCCCGGUAGCUAAAUGCGGAAGAGAUAAGUGCUGAAAGCAUCUAAGCACGAAACUUGCCCCGAGAUGAGUUCUCCCUGAGACUUAGAGUCUCCUGAAGGAACGUUGAAGACGACGACGUUGAUAGGCCGGGUGUGUAAGCGCAGCGAUGCGUUGAGCUAACCGGUACUAAUGAACCGUGAGGCUUAACCUUACAACGCCGAAG